Molecule: long non-coding RNA, 685 nt
Organism: Lates calcarifer (barramundi perch)
Lineage: Eukaryota; Metazoa; Chordata; Actinopteri; Centropomidae
Exons: 4
Source: RefSeq, a predicted model, not a curated record
UUCCAUGAGGUUUCAGUCUGAGAUUGAGCUGCUCUUCAUCAUGUGAAGCCUCUGUCUGGUUCGGGUCCUCUGAUCUGGAUCAUUAUUUGCUGCAUCAACACGAGACAAACAAGUCACUGGUUUGUCUUCUCACCACAAAGCGUCGGAUAAGGGCUUCAUCAUUAUCGGUGCGUUUGAGAAUGGAGUAGCUGAGGGUGAGAUUGAGGAGGCGCUGCAGCCGAUCUCAGCACUUCGCCUGGUGGUUCAUUCUGACGCUGACGUCUGGGCUCUACUCAGUGAGGUACUCAUUAAAGUUUGAUGACCACAGAAAAGAGGAAACUCCACACAUGCUGCCAUUGAGCCCAGAGCUUCACCUGAGCUAAUGUCAUCCUGCUGGACAAAGACUGUCACUACAGGAACUGUUUUUACAAGGCCUCAAGUGCCUAAACCAACUGUGGUCUGUGGGGAAGGAGGAUCUAUGUUUAGUGUUUGUUUUGAGCUGGACUGAGGUCCCUUACUUUCACUUCAAACAUUAAUAUUAAAUAUGUUGAGUAUUUGGAAGGGACUCCACUUCCCUUGUGAACUGAGUGAAUUGGCCAGUGUGGCUGUUUACAGACACUUAUCAAGAGUUGGUAGGUAAAACAGCUGAGGUGCUGAGUGAAUAAUUAUGUAAUAAUUAUAUUUUUCUGUCAGAAACAAAGAAAAU